GGACUACCCGGGUUUCUAAUCCUGUUUGCUCCCCACGCUUUCGUGUCUCAGCGUCAGUACUCGUCCAGUUGGCCGCCUUCGCCACCGGUGUUCCUCUCGAUAUCUACGAAUUUCACCUCUACACCGAGAAUUCCACCAACCUCUCCGGUACUCGAGCCGUGCAGUUUCGGGUGCCCUUCCCGAGUUGAGCCCGGGGAUUUCACAUCCGACUUGCACGGCCGCCUACACACGCUUUACGCCCAGUAAUUCCGAACAACGUUUGCACCCUCUGUCUUACCGCGGCUGCUGGCAC
This 292-nucleotide ribosomal RNA is filed under the name uncultured bacterium. RNAcentral describes it as "partial 16S ribosomal RNA". The record is from RNAcentral.